UUAUGGCCAUAUCACGUUGAAACACCGGUUCUUGUACGAUUACCGAAGUUAAGCAACGUCGAACCUGGUCAGUACCUAGAUGGGUGACUGCUUGGGAAUACCAGGUUUUGUAAG
This 114-nucleotide ribosomal RNA is filed under the name Acanthosepion pharaonis. Lineage: Eukaryota; Metazoa; Mollusca; Cephalopoda; Sepiida; Sepiidae. The record is from RNAcentral.